GUUAAUUGUUGGAAUUAAUCUUUAAAUUUAAAAAUAAAUUAUUUUCAAUAAAAUAGUAAAAUAAUAAAAAAAGAGAAAGAAAGAAAAAAAAUCUUUGAAAGCCACCAACUACAAUUCAAUACAUUUGUGUUGAAAAUCUCUAGUUCUCAAUGAAUCCUAAAUUUAAAACUUCAUUAUAAGUUAAGUUCUACAACAUAAACGAAAUUUUCUGAUAGCUACCAACUAAAAACUUAGAAAAUUUUAAAAUUUUUCUACGGAGAGUGAAGAUGAAAUGAAAAAGCGUUAUAUUAAUUAUAUUAUAUUGGUUCUCAAACUACUACUACACUAUUAUUUUAUUUUGAUUUGAACGGGGGAGGGAAGUUCUCAUUAAUACAGAAUUCAAUUAAUCGAAACAAGUUUCGAGCCAAUUGUACAGCGACAUGAUACAAACUCAUUAUAAUAUUACAAGUUGGACAAAACAAAACAAAACAAACGAAAUAUAAUUAAUUAAUGCCUAAUUUUAUAUAUAUGUGUCUGAUCUCAACAGAUUAAACAAGUAAUCAAAAGUAUGAAUUAGCCCAUAACAUAAAAUUAUUGAACAACUUUGAUUAUACAUUACAAAACAAAAACUAUGCCAAACAGUCAGUUGAUUAUUAAUUAAUGAACAAAAAAAUUGUGGUAUUAAAUAUUAAUUAGCCCACAAAAAAGAAAAAGGGGUUGUCGCAGCAGCACUCAUCAAUGAGACAGCAGCAACACAAAGCCGCAAGGCUGCAAAUUGAUAAUCAAACAUAUUAAAUUUUAACCCAAUUUUUAUCUAAGAAAUUUUGAACAUUAAUUAAUGAAAGUAAGAAAAAGGAAUCGAAGAGUAACUAAUAAAGUGUUAUAAUUAAGUACACAUACCAUGCCUCAAGGCAACCUCUGUUGCUUCACUGGAGGAGGGCCGUGAUAACGAUCACCUCCUACAAAUUCAAAUUCAUUCAUGUAUAUUAUUUCAAGCAAAUCAGACUGUUUUAACACGAUUUACUGUUCUUAAUUGCAAACGUCUGCAUGUUUUAAGAGGUGAAUUGAAAUAAAUAUAAUAAUAAUGUGUACAAAACGAUAAACAACAAUAUAUAGAUUAAAUUAUAUAUUUUAAAAUGUACAAACGACCGAGUAUUUUUUUAAUUUUAAUUUUAAUUUUUAUAGUUAGUACGUACCUUGAGGAUGGUAUGGAUACGCAUACUUGGGUUCAUACAUAAUUAAUUUGAUGAAGAGGAGGAGGCCGGCACCCAGCAAGAAUCGAUGGUGAGCUGUUGAAUUUCUUGAGGGAUUGGGAAAUGUUUUAAUUAGCUAAAAGCUGCAAAGUGUAAGAACGAAGAGACUUUGCUGUAUUGUUGUUGAUGAUAAUGAUGUACGGGUGACAAAUUAUUAAUUUAAUUUGUUGCUGGAUUUCUCUGGUAAAAG
Molecule: long non-coding RNA, 1422 nt
Filed under: Citrus maxima (pomelo)
Lineage: Eukaryota; Viridiplantae; Streptophyta; Magnoliopsida; Sapindales; Rutaceae
Description: long non-coding RNA (CMAX_LNC003275)
Source: RNAcentral